This 481-nucleotide long non-coding RNA is filed under the name Rattus norvegicus (Norway rat). RNAcentral's name for it is "long non-coding RNA NONRATT017851". The record is from RNAcentral. Lineage: Eukaryota; Metazoa; Chordata; Mammalia; Rodentia; Muridae.
GGAGGAAGGAUGUGGGCCUGGAAGGGGAUGGAAACUACACAAGAAGACAAACAGAGUCAACCAACCUGGGCCCUUGGGGCCCUCAGAGACUGAACUACCAACCAAAGGACAUACACAUGUUCGACCUAGGCCUCCCUACUCAUAUGUAGGAGAAGGGCAGCUUAGUUUUUAUGUGGUUCCUUAACAACUGGAAGGUGGGCUAUCCCAAAAGCUAUUGCCUGUACAUAGGAUAUGCUCUUUUAGCUGGGCAGACUUGUCUGGCCUCAGUGGGAGAGAAGGCAUCUAACCCUGUAGAGACUUGAUGUGCCAGAGUGGGGAGAUACUCAGGGAAGCCCCCACCCUCUCAGAAGAGAAGGGGAGAGGAGAAGGGAGGAAGGAUUGUGAGAGAGGUGACCAGGAAGGGACAGUGAGCAGGAUAUAGAUGAAUAAAUAAAAAUUAUGUUAAAUUAUAAAAAAUAAACUACCACAAAUACUUCAAUAA